RNAcentral lists this ribosomal RNA (1428 nucleotides) under Salmonella enterica subsp. enterica serovar Typhi. RNAcentral's name for it is "partial 23S ribosomal RNA". It matches the Rfam family "Bacterial large subunit ribosomal RNA", at positions 1 to 1368 of the family's 2925-position model. Lineage: Bacteria; Pseudomonadati; Pseudomonadota; Gammaproteobacteria; Enterobacterales; Enterobacteriaceae. The record is from RNAcentral.
GGUUAAGCGACUAAGCGUACACGGUGGAUGCCCUGGCAGUCAGAGGCGAUGAAGGGCGUGCUAAUCUGCGAUAAGCGCCGGUAAGGUGAUAUGAACCGUUAUAACCGGCGAUACCCGAAUGGGGAAACCCAGUGUGAUUCGUCACACUAUCAUUAACUGAAUCCAUAGGUUAAUGAGGCGAACCGGGGGAACUGAAACAUCUAAGUACCCCGAGGAAAAGAAAUCAACCGAGAUUCCCCCAGUAGCGGCGAGCGAACGGGGAGGAGCCCAGAGCCUGAAUCAGCAUGUGUGUUAGUGGAAGCGUCUGGAAAGGCGCGCGAUACAGGGUGACAGCCCCGUACACAAAAGCGCAUAUGCUGUGAGCUCGAUGAGUAGGGCGGGACACGUGGUAUCCUGUCUGAAUAUGGGGGGACCAUCCUCCAAGGCUAAAUACUCCUGACUGACCGAUAGUGAACCAGUACCGUGAGGGAAAGGCGAAAAGAACCCCGGCGAGGGGAGUGAAAAAGAACCUGAAACCGUGUACGUACAAGCAGUGGGAGCCCCACCACUAAGCCAGUGGUGAACUCCACAUACGCAUCCUUUGCUGAGGAGACGGUUAACGGAGCGAAAGCGACGUUCAACCUCAAAAGAAGCAGAGGGGGCUUAGUGGUGGGGUGACUGCGUACCUUUUGUAUAAUGGGUCAGCGACUUAUAUUCUGUAGCAAGGUUAACUGUAUAGGGGAGCCGGAGGGAAACCGAGUCUUAACCGGGCGUUAAGUUGCAGGGUAUAGACCCGAAACCCGGUGAUCUAGCCAUGGGCAGGUUGAAGGUUGGGUAACACUAACUGGAGGACCGAACCGACUAAUGUUGAAAAAUUAGCGGAUGACCUGUGGCUGGGGGUGAAAGGCCAAUCAAACCGGGAGAUAGCUGGUUCUCCCCGAAAGCUAUUUAGGUAGCGCCUCGUGAAUUCAUCUCCGGGGGUAGAGCACUGUUUCGGCUAGGGGGCCAUCCCGGCUUACCAACCCGAUGCAAACUGCGAAUACCGGAGAAUGUUAUCACGGGAGACACACGGCGGGUGCUAAUGUCCGUCGUGAAGAGGGAAACAACCCAGACCGCCAGCUAAGGUCCCAAAGUCAUGGUUAAGUGGGAAACGAUGUGGGAAGGCCCAGACAGCCAGGAUGUUGGCUUAGAAGCAGCCAUCAUUUAAAGAAAGCGUAAUAGCUCACUGGUCGAGUCGGCCUGCGCGGAAGAUGUAACGGGGCUAAACCAUGCACCGAAGCUGCGGCAGCGACACCGUGUGUUGUUGGGUAGGGGAGCGUUCUGUAAGCCUGUGAAGGUGUGCUGUGAGGCAUGCUGGAGGUAUCAGAAGUGCGAAUGCUGACAUAAGUAACGAUAAAGCGGGUGAAAAGCCCGCUCGCCGGAAGACCAAGGGUUCCUGUCCAACGUUAA